AAUGGAUGUCCUUGUUCUGAUUUGAGGAUGCCUCCAAGGUCACAUACUCUGUUUGCACCACGCUUAGGAAGGAGCGUGAAGACCAAGGGAAGAUGAUAAACACAGAUCAUGGAGGACUGUUUUAUCUGUUUGUGAUCUGCCGUCCUCUGUGAGCCUCAGGAUGGAUGUUUGCCAGCCGAUUCCAUGGUUACAAGCUCUAUAGCUGCAUCUAUGUGUUAGGAGCAUGAAGACCAAUAAUGGAUGCACUGAGCUGAUUAUGAAUUUAGCCCUGAUGAAGACUUGUGUUGCUGUCAUGAUAUGAAAGAUUCCAGUAAUGAACGCACUUGAGUUGAUUCAAGCACGCUUCCAUGGUCAUGAGCUCUGUGGUUGCAUCUGUGUGUUAGGAGCAUGCAGACCAAUAGUGAUAAUCUCGAGGUGAUUUAUGCAUUCUUCCAUGGCCACCAGCCUUAUGAUUGCAUCUGUGCGUCACAGCUUAGAGAUCAAUAAUGGAUGCAACAAGCUCUUUGAAUCAUUCUGUUGGGAUCAAGAUUGUUGUGUUCCCUCUGUUUGGAAAGAGACCAAGAAUGGAUACGCUCAGGUGAUUUAAGCAGUCUUCCAUGGCCACGAGCUCUGUGGUUGCCUCUGUAUAUUAAGAGCACAGAGAUUAAAAAUGGGUGCACUUGAGCCGAUUGAAACAUUCCUCCUUGCAUCUUUCUUCUGUGAUUGCAUCUAUUUGUUAGUAGCAUAGAGACCAAUAAUAGAUGGCUUGUGCUGAUGGAAGGAUUCCUCCCUGGUGACAUGCUGUGUCUGCCUCUUGAUUGGGAGCACGCAGACCUACAAUGAUGCACUUUUUAUGAUUUGAGAAUUCCUUCAUGGUCACGUGCUCUGUUUUUAUCAUGGUUGGGAGCCUGCAGAGCAAUAAGGGACAUGCCUUUGCUGAUUUGAGGAUUCCUCUGAGGUUGGGAGCUAAGUUUGCAUCAUGCUUAGAAAGGAGUGUGCAGACCUGUAAUGAUUGCACUUUGCUGAUUGAAGGAUUCCUUCAAGUCCAUGUGCUCCACUUGCACCAUUUUUAGGAUGGAGCCUGGAGACCUAUAAUGAACAACUUGUGCUGUGUUAAGGAUUCCUCCAUGAUCACGCGCCCCAUUUGUACACCAUGCUUGGGAAGGUGCAUGCAGACCAAUAAUGGACGUACUUGUGAUGAUUUAAAGAUGCCUCCAAGGUCACGUGCUCUGUUUGCACCAUGCUUAGGAAGGAGCGUACAGACCAAAAAUGGAUGAAUUGUGCACCUUGAAAAGUUCUUCCAUGGUCACCUGAGGCAUCUGCGUCAUGAUUAGGCUCCGGAUGACUAAUAAUGGACGUACUUGUUCUGAUUUGAGGACUUCUUCAUGGUCACAUGUUCUGUUUGCACCAUGCUUAGGAAGGAGCAUGUGUACCAAUAAUGGAAGCACAGAAGCUGGUUUUAAUAGUUAAGAGCUGUAUGGUCCAUCUCUGUGCUAGAAGCUGGAGACCAAUAACAGUCACUCCCUGCACUGAUUCUGCCAUGACCACUUGCUCUAUGGUUGUUUUAAGGAACCUACAGACAAAUAAUGGAUUAUCAUUGGUGAAGAUCUUAGCUGUUCCAUAGAAGGAACACACUUAUCACUACAGUGAUUCUGUAAUGAUGAAGACCUUUAUGGGUCAGUGAUGGGUAGACCAGAGCUGAUUAAAUUAUUCUCCCAUUGAUGAGGAACUUUACCUUAUCCCUCAGAGUAAGGAGAAUGUCAUAUAAUGAAAGAUACUGAUCUCUGUUCUUGGUUAAGUUCCAAGAACCAUCUAAGUUUCGUGCCCCUCAGCUGUAAAAGGGAAGUACAUUUCAUUUGUUUAUUCUGUAAAACUCUCGGUGUGUGCCAUGGCCAUGCACUGAUGAUGAGCACAUGUGUGCGGCCCCUGCCCCCGUGGAGCGCAUGCAUGGUCCUCCAGCCAGAGACCGCGCUGGGAGAAAUCAGGGGUUCACUCCUGGUCGGAGGAGCAAUCCAUCAGUCAUCCUGCCCAGAGCUUGUGAAGGUGCAGUGGCCUGAGCCAGGCUUCCAAGAGGACAACCGUGAUGGGCUCUGUGUGCGUUGCUGGGAGGACUUUUCAAUGUGAUGGCAGCCUGGGGGAAGACAGUGUCACCACGACAGUGUCACGGAACAUGCAGGAGGACUUCCUGGACAUGAAGCUAGAUUCCGGCAGGGCCACUGGUGUCAGCAGCACUCCUGGAGGACACCCUGGGCUCUGGAAGAGAGACAGCACCCCAGAAGCCGGCCAGGAAUGGUUGGAGGGAGGCUAUUGGUGAUGUGUUCACUCUGUGUGUGGCAGAUACCCCACAGUGGACCUCCUAAAGCACUGAGUGCCUCCUUGAAGGACUUGCUGUACGUGGUGUGAAGUUCAGGAACACAGUGUGGGUGUCUGUCAGCCCCUCGCAGAGGGUAUGUGCGCAGAUGGUGGAACAGCUGGGCCUCGUGGAGGCAGCCCCGACCUGGGGGAAGUGGCCUUGCUCUGGCUGUCUGUCACACCAACAUGACCAGUCCUGCCGAUUGAAACUUUCUGGACACAAGCUUCAGUCUCUGGAAGAUUCUUGGGUGUCCUUCUCCCUCCAAG
This is a long non-coding RNA of Homo sapiens (human), 2598 nucleotides long. Ensembl annotates it as maternally expressed 8, small nucleolar RNA host gene. Its record names the gene MEG8. The record is from Ensembl. Lineage: Eukaryota; Metazoa; Chordata; Mammalia; Primates; Hominidae.